Long non-coding RNA from Patella vulgata (common limpet), 2252 nucleotides. RefSeq lists it as uncharacterized. The record is from RefSeq and is a predicted model, not a curated record. NCBI's taxonomy places the organism in Eukaryota, Metazoa, Mollusca, Gastropoda, Patellidae. The transcript has 3 exons.
CUAUGCUAUGUUUAAAACCAUGUUAAAAGGAUUUCCUUGAUAUUGCAUUUAAAAGGAUAUAAUGCAUGGGCUCCAUGUCAGCCAUAUAUGCUGGUUAAGAUCAAGGACUAUGGAAAAUAACCAAAACUGGAUCUGAAUCUUCGGUCAUUUUGCAGGCGAGACAAAAUAACAUAUUUUGUGCUGUAUCAUAAAAAUCCUGAACACAACUAAAUUCAUGCGCGUUGUUAUGUAAAUUGUCGGGUAUAAUGGUUAAAUUUCCAUAAUUGUUUUGUAAAAUUUCCCUGAUGUUGAUAAAUUUAUAAAAUUUCUCUGAUGCAGUUUGAACAAGCGAGCUUUGUCAAGUUCCGGUCAAGAAUGGAUGACAACAUGAUUAACCAAAUGUACACAAGCAGAGAAGCAGAGAAUACAAGCAGCAGUUAGAUCCAAUAUGAUGCUAGUUCACCAUUGACCAAUCCCUUUCUUUACUGAAUUAAAAAAAAACAAAAAAACAAACAAAUACAGAUAAUUUGCCAGUAAGACAGAACCAAAAAUAGAAAACACACUAGAAACCAGUAAUGGUGGUUUUUUUUUUAAAUCUUAUGGAUUAUAAAUGGGCUGCCAUAAAUUACUUUGCACAAUUUUUCUUAUGGUUCUCUUUAAAGUUUAAUAUCAUUCUUCCUGCUCAAACACAUCAACUUCCAAAAUAAACCAUCAAAGAUUUGGCUGGAACAAUCAGGCAUUUAAUCUGAGUUUGAUUGUAGAAAGGCAGACAUAUUGGAUAUGGUGCUGCUGGUUGCUAGGGGUAUUUAUGACUCCGUUACUCUACAUACCACAUGUCUUGUCAAGAUAAAAUGUGGAGAUAAUAAAAAUACCGGACUAUUUUAAACAUAUUCUACAACAAUCAAACACCCAUAAACCCAUCUUUCUUACUGUACCUUUAGAUCUACCUGAAGGAUGAUAUAAUUUGUAGGUGCAACGUGAUCAUUGUCUAUGAUGAUAAAAGGUGAUAUAUAGAUGAUCAUCUACGAGAAUUACAAUCAGAGGUUUCUGUGUAAAAUGUUUUGGUCAUAGAUCACUAGAAUUCUAUGUUGCGUGUAAGCUAUUUCAGAAAUGGAUCUAAAUGUUGUAGUGAGCCAUACAUUAACUAUUAAAGAAGAAUAAAUUUAUUGGGAUUCUUCAGCAUCCAAGCAAACCAAAUGCUUUUCUUUGGCAUGUCAUCUCUCCUGACCACUGUCAAGAAGGGGGAAACAGUGAUGUAAAAUGAAACAAAAACAAACCCGAUUACCUACAUGCCUAUAAACUAUGCAUUUCAACAAUAUAGAUGUUGAGGUAAAUGAUUUGACUGGCCAUUCUUCUCAAACAAUUACAUUUUGGCACUCAUGUGAUGUGCUAUUACCUUAUAUUUAUAUCAGUCUGAUUAGAAAUAAUAAAUAAAAUUAUAAUCUAGGUUUCAUUAGAUUGUAGCAUAUGUAUGUAUACGGCCAUAUCAAUAAUUUGUGCAUUUAUGCAUUUUGGAAUCCAGAAUUGAUAAUCAUAACUUCAUGGAGUAUAUUUGAAGGGUAUAUAACAGUGUAAUUGUGGGGGUAUAUUUGAAGGGUAUAUACAGUUUAAUUGUGGGGGUAUAUUUGAGAGGUAUACAACAGUUUUAUUGUGGGGUAUAUUUGAGGGGUAUACAACAGUGUAAUUGUGGGGGUAUAUUUGAAGUGUAUAUAACAGUGUAAUUGUGGGAGUAUAUUUGAAGUGUAUAUAACAGUGUAAUUGUGGGAGUAUAUUUGAAGUGUAUAUAACAGAGUAAUUGUGGGGGUAUAUUUGAAGGGUAUACAACAGUGUAAUUGUGGGGGUAUAUUUGAAGGGUAUACAACAGUGUAAUUGUGGGGGUAUAUUUGAAGGGUAUACAACAGUGUAAUUGUGGGGGUAUAUUUGAAGGGUAUAUAACCAUGUAAUUGUGGGGGUAUAUUUGAAGGGUAUACAACGGUGUAAUUGUGGGAGUAUAUUUGAGGGGUAUAUAACCGUGUAAUUGUGGGAGUAUAUUUGUGGUGUAUAUAACUGUGUAAUUGUGAGGGUAUAUUUGAGGGGUAUAUAACAAUGUUAUAGGGGUAUAUUUGAGGGGUACAUAUCGGUGUAAUCUGGUGGUAUACAACAGUAUCAUUUUGUUAAAGCAUAUCCAGAUAAAAAUCUACUAUCUCUUGGAUUAUAUUACUAUAUUACGCUCAGAAUGUUUCAGGACCUGAAAGAACAUCUGGACAAAAGAUGGUAACGGAAUACUGGACAAA